RNAcentral lists this ribosomal RNA (251 nucleotides) under uncultured bacterium. RNAcentral's name for it is "partial 16S ribosomal RNA". It matches the Rfam family "Bacterial small subunit ribosomal RNA", at positions 524 to 776 of the family's 1533-position model. The record is from RNAcentral.
UACGUAGGCAGCGAGCGUUGUUCGGAAUUACUGGGCGUAAAGAGUGUGUAGGCGGCGCUCUAAGUUCGGUGUGAAAUCUCUCGCUUAACUGGGAGGGUGCGCCGGAAACUGGAGUGCUCGAACGUGGGAGAGGAAAGCGGAAUCCUGGUGUAGCGGUGAAAUGCGCAGAUAUCGGGAAGAACACCGGUGGCGAAGGCGGGUCUCUGGGCCGAUACUGACGCUGAGGAGCGAAAGCGUGGGGAGCGAACAGG